This 458-nucleotide ribosomal RNA is filed under the name uncultured microorganism. RNAcentral describes it as "bacterial SSU rRNA". It matches the Rfam family "Bacterial small subunit ribosomal RNA", at positions 346 to 794 of the family's 1533-position model. The record is from RNAcentral.
GCGCACCAGUCGAGAAUAGUCUACAAUGGACGAAAGUCUGAUAGUGCGACGCCGUGUGUGCGAUUAAUUCCUUCGGGAUGUAAAGCACUUUUCUAUGAGAUAAAAGCUCUUUAGGUUAAUAGCUUAUUGAGACGGAUAUUAUUAUAGGAAUAAGCUCCGGCUAACUCCGUGCCAGCAGCCGCGGUAAUACGGAAGGAGCGAGCGUUGUCCGGAUUUACUAGGCGUAAAGGGCUAGUAGGCGACUAAUUAAGUUAUAUGUUAAAUCCCACGGCUCAACUGUGGUCCUGCAUGUAAUACUGGUUAGAUAGAGUACUGUAGAGGAAGGCAGAAUUCCUGGAGUAGCGGUGGAAUGCGCAGAUAUCAGGAAGAAUACCAAAAGCGAAGGCAGCCUUCUAGGCAGUUACUGACGCUGAAUAGCGAAGGUGUGGGUAGCGAGCAGGAUUAGAUACCCCCGUAGU